GGAUGCGAUCAUACCCAGCAAUAAAGCACC
RNAcentral lists this ribosomal RNA (30 nucleotides) under Hordeum vulgare. Lineage: Eukaryota; Viridiplantae; Streptophyta; Magnoliopsida; Poales; Poaceae. The record is from RNAcentral.